RNAcentral lists this transfer RNA (70 nucleotides) under Marmota monax (woodchuck). Its description in RNAcentral is "tRNA.Ala". It matches the Rfam family "tRNA". Rfam says of the family: Transfer RNA (tRNA) molecules are approximately 80 nucleotides in length. Their secondary structure includes four short double-helical elements and three loops (D, anti-codon, and T loops). Further hydrogen bonds mediate the characteristic L-shaped molecular structure. tRNAs have two regions of fundamental functional importance: the anti-codon, which is responsible for specific mRNA codon recognition, and the 3' end, to which the tRNAs corresponding amino acid is attached (by aminoacyl-tRNA synthetases). tRNAs cope with the degeneracy of the genetic code in two manners: having more than one tRNA (with a specific anti-codon) for a particular amino acid; and 'wobble' base-pairing, i.e. permitting non-standard base-pairing at the 3rd anti-codon position. Lineage: Eukaryota; Metazoa; Chordata; Mammalia; Rodentia; Sciuridae. The record is from RNAcentral.
GAGGUGAGGCUCAGCGGUAGAGCACUUGCCUGGCAUGUAUAAGGCACUGGGUUCAAUCCUCAGCACCACA